UGGGGAAUUUUGGACAAUGGGCGAAAGCCUGAUCCAGCAAUGCCGCGUGUGUGAAGAAGGCCUUCGGGUUGUAAAGCACUUUUGUCCGGAAAGAAAUCCUUGGCUCUAAUACAGUCGGGGGAUGACGGUACCGGAAGAAUAAGCACCGGCUAACUACGUGCCAGCAGCCGCGGUAAUACGUAGGGUGCAAGCGUUAAUCGGAAUUACUGGGCGUAAAGCGUGCGCAGGCGGUUUGCUAAGACCGAUGUGAAAUCCCCGGGCUCAACCUGGGAACUGCAUUGGUGACUGGCAGGCUAGAGUAUGGCAGAGGGGGGUAGAGUUCCACGUGUAGCAGUGAAAUGCGUAGAGAUGUGGAGGAAUACCGAUGGCGAAGGCAGCCCCCUGGGCCAAUACUGACGCUCAUGCACGAAAGCGUGGGGAGCAAAACAGGAUUAGAUACCCUGGGUAGUCCACGCCCUAAACGAUGUCAACUAGUUGUUGGGGAUUCAUUUCCUUAGUAACGUAGCUAACGCGUGAAGUUGACCGCCUGGGGAGUACGGUCGCAAGAUUAAAACUUAAAUGAAUUGACGGGGUC
RNAcentral lists this ribosomal RNA (574 nucleotides) under uncultured bacterium. Its description in RNAcentral is "partial 16S ribosomal RNA". It matches the Rfam family "Bacterial small subunit ribosomal RNA", at positions 355 to 920 of the family's 1533-position model. The record is from RNAcentral.